This 253-nucleotide ribosomal RNA is filed under the name uncultured bacterium. RNAcentral describes it as "partial 16S ribosomal RNA". It matches the Rfam family "Bacterial small subunit ribosomal RNA", at positions 524 to 776 of the family's 1533-position model. The record is from RNAcentral.
UACAGAGGUCUCAAGCGUUGUUCGGAUUCAUUGGGCGUAAAGGGUGUGUAGGUGGUCUGCUAAGUCAGACGUGAAAUCCCUCAGCUUAACUGGGGAACUGCGUCUGAUACUGUCGGACUUGAGGACAGGAGAGAAGAGUGGAAUUCCACGUGUAGCGGUGAAAUGCGUAGAGAUGUGGAGGAACACCAGUGGCGAAGGCGACUCUUUGGCCUGUAACUGACGCUGAGGCGCGAAAGCGUGGGGAGCAAACAGG